GAUGAACGCUGGCGGCGUGCCUAAUACAUGCAAGUCGAGCGAACAGACGAGGAGCUUGCUCCUCUGACGUUAGCGGCGGACGGGUGAGUAACACGUGGAUAACCUACCUAUAAGACUGGGAUAACUUCGGGAAACCGGAGCUAAUACCGGAUAAUAUAUUGAACCGCAUGGUUCAAUAGUUAAAUACGGUUUUUCGGUCACUUAUAGAUUGAUCCGCGCCGCAUUAGCUAGUUGGUAAGGUAACGGCUUACCAAGGCAACGAUGCGUAGCCGACCUGAGAGGGUGAUCGCACACACUGGAACUGAGAAACGGUCCAGACUCCUACGGGAGGCAGCAGUAGGGAAUCUUCCGCAAUGGGCGAAAGCCUGACGGAGCAACGCCGCGUGAGUGAUGAAGGUCUUCGGAUCGUAAAACUCUGUUAUUAGGGAAGAACAAAUGUGUAAGUAACUAUGCACGUCUUGACGGUACCUAAUCAGAAAGCCACGGCUAACUACGUG
RNAcentral lists this ribosomal RNA (497 nucleotides) under uncultured bacterium. RNAcentral's name for it is "partial 16S ribosomal RNA". It matches the Rfam family "Bacterial small subunit ribosomal RNA", at positions 28 to 507 of the family's 1533-position model. The record is from RNAcentral.